RNAcentral lists this ribosomal RNA (497 nucleotides) under uncultured bacterium. RNAcentral describes it as "partial 16S ribosomal RNA". It matches the Rfam family "Bacterial small subunit ribosomal RNA", at positions 28 to 507 of the family's 1533-position model. The record is from RNAcentral.
GAUGAACGCUGGCGGCGUGCCUAAUACAUGCAAGUCGAGCGAACAGAUGAGGAGCUUGCUCCUCUGACGUUAGCGGCGGACGGGUGAGUAACACGUGGAUAACCUACCUAUAAGACUGGGAUAACUUCGUGAAACCGGAUCUAAUACCGGAUAAUAUAUUCAACCGCAUGGUUCAAUAGUGAAAGACGGUUUUGCUGUCACUUUUAGAUGGAUUCGCGCCGCAUUAGCUAGUUGGUAAGGUAACGGCUUACCAAGGCAACGAUGCGUAGCCGACCUGAGAGGGUGAUCGGCCACACUGGAACUGAGACACGGUCCAGACUCCUACGGGAGGCAGCAGUAGGGAAUCUUCCGCAAUGGGCGAAAGCCUGACGGAGCAACGCCGCGUGAGUGAUGAAGGUCUUCGGAUCGUAAAACUCUGUUAUUAGGGAAGAACAAAUGUGUAAGUAACUAUGCACGUCUUGACGGUACCUAAACAGAAAGCCACGGCUAACUACGUG